This 492-nucleotide ribosomal RNA is filed under the name uncultured bacterium. RNAcentral describes it as "partial 16S ribosomal RNA". It matches the Rfam family "Bacterial small subunit ribosomal RNA", at positions 29 to 507 of the family's 1533-position model. The record is from RNAcentral.
AGUGAACGCUGGCGGUAGGCCUAACACAUGCAAGUCGAACGGCAGCACAGUAAGAGCUUGCUCUUACGGGUGGCGAGUGGCGGACGGGUGAGGAAUACAUCGGAAUCUACUUUUUCGUGGGGGAUAACGUAGGGAAACUUACGCCAAUACCGCAUACGACCUACGGGUGAAAGCAGGGGAUCUUCGGACCUUGCGCGAUUGAAUGAGCCGAUGUCGGAUUAGCUAGUUGGCGGGGUAAAGGCCCACCAAGGCGACGAUCCGUAGCUGGUCUGAGAGGAUGAUCAGCCACACUGGAACUGAGACACGGUCCAGACUCCUACGGGAGGCAGCAGUGGGGAAUAUUGGACAAAGGGCGCAAGCCUGAUCCAGCCAUACCGCGUGGGUGAAGAAGGCCUUCGGGUUGUAAAGCCCUUUUGUUGGGAAAGAAAAGCAGCAGGUUAAUACCCCGCUGUUCUGACGGUACCCAAAGAAUAAGCACCGGCUAACUUCGUG